This is a small nuclear RNA of Myodes glareolus (Bank vole), 165 nucleotides long. RefSeq annotates it as U1 spliceosomal RNA. The record is from RefSeq and is a predicted model, not a curated record. Lineage: Eukaryota; Metazoa; Chordata; Mammalia; Rodentia; Cricetidae.
AUACUUACCUGGCAGAAGAAAUAGCAGGAUCACGAAGGUGGUUUUCCGGGGGUGAGCAUCAUCCGUUGGACUCCAGAUAGGCUGACCCCUGUGAUUUCUCCAAAUGAAGGACGCUCAAAUGCAUUGAUUCGUGGUAGUAGGGGAUUGCAUCCACGUUCUCUCCUG